RNAcentral lists this ribosomal RNA (314 nucleotides) under uncultured bacterium. RNAcentral's name for it is "bacterial SSU rRNA". It matches the Rfam family "Bacterial small subunit ribosomal RNA", at positions 28 to 334 of the family's 1533-position model. The record is from RNAcentral.
GAUGAACGCUAGCGGCAGGCUUAACACAUGCAAGUCGAGGGGCAUCGGGAGGGAAGCUUGCUUUCCUUGCCGGCGACCGGCGCACGGGUGAGUAACACGUAUGCAACCUGCCCUCUUCAGGGGGACAACCUUCCGAAAGGGAGGCUAAUCCCGCGUAUAUCGGUUUCGGGCAUCCGUUAUCGAGGAAAGAUUCAUCGGAAGAGGAUGGGCAUGCGGCGCAUUAGCUUGACGGCGGGGUAACGGCCCACCGUGGCGACGAUGCGUAGGGGUUCUGAGAGGAAGGUCCCCCACACUGGAACUGAGACACGGUCCAG